AUCCACAUGCAUGCCCUCAAAAUAGUUGAAAGCUAUUUAAUAAUGCAUAUGGAAGAACCAGUGACUCCAUAUAUUAUAAGGAUUGUGGUAUGAAGGCCUCCCUGUAUUAAACGAUACUCUUGGAAAUAAAUGUGCAACCUGAAGAACAGCCGGGGAAUUAGCCUAAAAAGGCUAAGAGCUAGCUGGAGAAGAUGACUCAUUAUGUUUACCAACCUCUCUCACACCAAAGAAAGACAACGAGGGUAUAAGUGAGAAAAUUACUGAAGCAUUUUCCAGAGACAAGCUGCUGAUUUUGAAAGAGAGGCAAAAAAACCCCCCAACAAAACAAGUGAACUUCAAUCUCAUUAAGGGAGUUGGCUGAUUGUCUGAAGAAAAUGUAUGUGGAGCUGUGAGUCUGGUGCCUGCUGGAAUAGUUUAAGACUUCAUCCAUAUUAAUAAAAACAUACAAACAC
Molecule: long non-coding RNA, 452 nt
Organism: Pantherophis guttatus
Lineage: Eukaryota; Metazoa; Chordata; Lepidosauria; Squamata; Colubridae
Source: RefSeq, a predicted model, not a curated record